ACACGUGGGUAACCUGCCUUAUAGUGGGGGAUAGCCUUUCGAAGGAAGAUUAAUACCGCAUAAGAUUGUAGUAUCGCAUGAUAUAGCAAUUAAAGGAGCAAUUCGCUAUAAGAUGGACCCGCGUCGCAUUAGCUAGUUGGUGAGGUAAUGGCUCACCAAGGCGACGAUGCGUAGCCGACCUGAGAGGGUGAUCGGCCACAUUGGGACUGAGACACGGCCCAGACUCCUACGGGAGGCAGCAUG
RNAcentral lists this ribosomal RNA (243 nucleotides) under uncultured bacterium. RNAcentral's name for it is "partial 16S ribosomal RNA". It matches the Rfam family "Bacterial small subunit ribosomal RNA", at positions 113 to 353 of the family's 1533-position model. The record is from RNAcentral.